UACGGGGGGGGCAAGCGUUGUUCGGAAUUACUGGGCGUAAAGGGCUCGUAGGUGGCCAACUAAGUCAGACGUGAAAUCCCUCGGCCUAACCGGGGAACUGCAUCUGAUACUGGAUGGCUUGAGUUUGGGAGAGGGAUGCGGAAUUCCAGGUGUAGCGGUGAAAGGCGUAGAUAUCUGGAGGAACACCGGUGGCGAAGGCGACAUCCUGGACCGGUAUUGACGCUGAGGCGCGAAAGCCAGGGGAGCAAACGGG
This 253-nucleotide ribosomal RNA is filed under the name uncultured bacterium. RNAcentral's name for it is "partial 16S ribosomal RNA". It matches the Rfam family "Bacterial small subunit ribosomal RNA", at positions 524 to 776 of the family's 1533-position model. The record is from RNAcentral.